GCCCGCCUAGCUCAAUCGGAUAGAGCGUCAGACUCUUAUGACUAGGCAAUCUGAAGGCUGCGAGUUCGACCCUCGCGGUGGGCU
This 84-nucleotide transfer RNA is filed under the name Cyathus striatus. Its description in RNAcentral is "tRNA-Lys". It matches the Rfam family "tRNA". Rfam says of the family: Transfer RNA (tRNA) molecules are approximately 80 nucleotides in length. Lineage: Eukaryota; Fungi; Basidiomycota; Agaricomycetes; Agaricales; Nidulariaceae. The record is from RNAcentral. RNAcentral also lists the same sequence under 3 other names.